AGCGAACGCUGGCGGCAGGCCUAACACAUGCAAGUCGAACGGCUCUUCGGAGCAGUGGCGGACGGGUGAGUAACACGUGGGAACGUGCCCUUUGGUACGGAACAACUGAGGGAAACUUCAGCUAAUACCGUAUGUGCCCUUUUGGGGAAAGGAUUUAUCGCCAUUGGAGCGGCCCGCGUUGGAUUAGCUAGUUGGUGGGGUAACGUGCCUACC
This 213-nucleotide ribosomal RNA is filed under the name uncultured bacterium. Its description in RNAcentral is "partial 16S ribosomal RNA". It matches the Rfam family "Bacterial small subunit ribosomal RNA", at positions 29 to 269 of the family's 1533-position model. The record is from RNAcentral.